AAACCAGCACCUCAAGUGGUCAGGAGGAUUAUUGGGCCUAAAGCAUCCGUAGCCUGUUCUAUAAGUUUUCGGUUAAAUCCAUUAGCUCAACUAAUGGGCCGCCGAAAAUACUGUAGAACUAGGGAGUGGGAGAGGUAGACGGUAUUCGGUAGGAAGGGGUAAAAUCCUUUGAUCUAUUGAGGACCACCUGUGGCGAAGGCGGUCUACCAGAACACGUUCGACGGUGAGGGAUGAAAGCUGGGGGAGCAAACCGGAUUAGAAACCCUGGUAGUCC
Molecule: ribosomal RNA, 274 nt
Filed under: uncultured bacterium
Lineage: Bacteria
Description: partial 16S ribosomal RNA
Rfam family: Archaeal small subunit ribosomal RNA
Source: RNAcentral